Long non-coding RNA from Alexandromys fortis (reed vole), 854 nucleotides. RefSeq lists it as uncharacterized. Lineage: Eukaryota; Metazoa; Chordata; Mammalia; Rodentia; Cricetidae. The record is from RefSeq and is a predicted model, not a curated record. The transcript is spliced from 3 exons.
GGAGCAAAGAAGCAGCAAGAAGAAGGAAAAAGGGGUGAUCUCCACCAGAUUUGAUAGUGACUUUUCCAGAAGACAAGUGUUCCCACAGCUCUGCUGAGACACAUUCUCCAUGUGGAUGUGUUCUUCUUUUUUAUGACAAUGAGACUUGUCUGCUCCUAGCAGCACCAAUCUACUUCAGAGAAGAUACUGGACAUCGAAGAAACUUCACAUGGAGUUUACUUUCUUUGUGACAAAAGCCACUGGACAAGAAAAUGCCCUUGUCUCAACUGCUGACAGUGUGCUGUCCUAGUUGGACAAGCAGGACACAAAAGAAAGUGACUGCCAAACAUUGUCAAGACAAGGAGGGACAGCCCUUCAGAAGAUCCUGCUUCACAGAAAGUCUGUUGGAUAUGCUAGGCCUGUAGGCUAAGGAGGAGCCUUGGGUGACUGUCCAGGCAGCCAGCUGUUUCUGUCAUUUCUCACAUUUUUUGAAAGUCGCUUGCUUGCACUUCCUGCUUACUCAGUUAAUGUUAUUUCCUUCUUGGGUCUCUGAGGGAGUUGAAGACUAGAUAGUUAGAGUUUUCUUUGUUUACCAGACGCAGAAAGCAAGUUAUGAUAGGAAGUAAAUUGGUACAAGACUUUGGACUCACCAAGAUAGGAUAGAUAUGGAGUAUUUUCUCUGAACUUGUCAAAUGCAAAUGGACUAGACAUUGUUGAUAUAUUUAUUGCCUGUGUAUAUUGUAUGUAGCCAUUGGACUUAUUGUAUAUUGUUUUUCUUAUAUUAUUUAUAGCCUUCUUUUUAUUUUAGACAAAAAGGAGAACUAUAGUGGUAUAUUAUUUGUAUUUUAUUAAAUAAAUCUUGCCUGAAGACCAGA